This 468-nucleotide ribosomal RNA is filed under the name uncultured bacterium. RNAcentral describes it as "partial 16S ribosomal RNA". It matches the Rfam family "Bacterial small subunit ribosomal RNA", at positions 28 to 507 of the family's 1533-position model. The record is from RNAcentral.
GGCGAACGCUGGCGGCGUGCUUAACACAUGCAAGUCGAACGGAAAGGCCCUGCUUUUGUGGGGUGCUCGAGUGGCGAACGGGUGAGUAACACGUGAGUAACCUGCCCUUGACUUUGGGAUAACUUCAGGAAACUGGGGCUAAUACCGGAUAGGAGCUCCUGCUGCAUGGUGGGGGUUGGAAAGUUUCGGCGGUUGGGGAUGGACUCGCGGCUUAUCAGCUUGUUGGUGGGGUAGUGGCUUACCAAGGCUUUGACGGGUAGCCGGCCUGAGAGGGUGACCGGCCACAUUGGGACUGAGAUACGGCCCAGACUCCUACGGGAGGCAGCAGUGGGGAAUAUUGCACAAUGGGCGGAAGCCUGAUGCAGCAACGCCGCGUGCGGGAUGACGGCCUUCGGGUUGUAAACCGCUUUCGCCUGUGACGAAGCGUGAGUGACGGUAAUGGGCAAAGAAGCACCGGCUAACUACGUG